GAGUUUGAUCAUGGCUCAGAACGAACGCUGGCGGCGUGCCUAACACAUGCAAGUCGAACGCGAACGUCUUCUUCGGAGGACAAGUAGAGUGGCGCACGGGUGAGUAACGCGUAAGUAAUCUGUCCUGGCAUCUGGGAUAACCUAUCGAAAGGUGAGCUAAUACCGGAUACGUCCUGCGGGAGAAAGACCGCCUCUGUUGUAAGCGGUUGUGCGAGGAGGAGCUUGCGUACCGUUAGCUGGUUGGUGGGGUAACGGCCUACCAAGGCGACGAUGGUUAGCGGGUCUGAGAGGAUGAUCCGCCACACUGGAACUGAAACACGGACCAGACUCCUACGGGAGGCAGCAGUGAGGAAUAUUGCGCAAUGGGGGCAACCCUGACGCAGCGACGCCGCGUGGAUGAUGAAGGCCUUCGGGUUGUAAAAUCCUGUCAGAUGGGAAGAAGUGUACGAUGGUUAAGAGCUGUCGUAUUUGACGGUACCAUCAAAGGAAGCACCGGCUAACUCCGUGCCAGCAGCCGCGGUAAUACGGAGGGUGCGAGCGUUGUUCGGAUUUACUGGGCGUAAAGCGCGCGUAGGCGGUGUGAUCAGUCAGCUGUGAAAGCCCAUGGCUCAACCAUGGACGUGCAGUUGAAACUGUCAGACUUGAGUACUGGAGGGGGUGGUGGAAUUCCCGGUGUAGAGGUGAAAUUCGUAGAUAUCGGGAGGAAUACCGGUGGCGAAGGCGACCACCUGGCCAGAUACUGACGCUGAGGUGCGAAAGCGUGGGGAGCAAACAGGAUUAGAUA
RNAcentral lists this ribosomal RNA (784 nucleotides) under uncultured bacterium. Its description in RNAcentral is "bacterial SSU rRNA". It matches the Rfam family "Bacterial small subunit ribosomal RNA", at positions 9 to 784 of the family's 1533-position model. The record is from RNAcentral.